UUAUAUACUGGAUUUUUCUUCAUACCCACAGCCUUCUACAUGGAAGGUGGUCUUUUGGACCAAUAGGUUCUCUGAUUAAUGUGCUUGAUGACUGAUCAGGUAAUUUGGAAGAAUUUUGGAUAGAAAGCCAGAUGUAUGUUGAUAAUAUCAGUGCUAGGAUAGUAUUGGUUUUGUCAAUGUUUGUCAUUCUAUGCAAUUCUUUUUCUAAAUUAUUUUCUGGUCUCUGUUUUCAAGCAAAUUGAUUGAAGUACCGAUUGGCCCAAAAGAACCGCCCUCCAUGUCGAGGUCUGCAGAACUAUGGAAUUUUUAUGGAAUAUAAAGAAAUGCCUAAUUUGAUGAGGUACAUGUGGUUAGAAAGUUCCCUUUCCCAAAAUAUUCCAUAGUCUGAGAAAAUGUGGAUAUAUCUUCAGUAUAUCCCUUCUUAUUAUUUCAAAUAUAACUAUUUUAAAUGUUAUAUUAUAUACUGGAUUUUUCUUCAUACCCACAGCCUUCUACAUGGAAGGUGGUCUUUUGGACCAAUAGGUUCUCUGAUUAAUGUGCUUGAUGACUGAUCAGGUAAUUUGGAAGAAUUUUGGAUAGAAAGCCAGAUGUAUGUUGAUAAUAUCAGUGCUAGGAUAGUAUUGGUUUUGUCAAUGUUUGUCUUUCUAUGCAAUUCUUUUUCCACAUUAUUUUCUGGUCUCUGUUUUCAAGCAAAUUGAUUGAAGUACCGAUUGGCCCAAAAGAACCGCCUUCCAUGUCGUGGUCUGCAGAAUUUUUAUGGAAUAUAAAGAUUGCUAGUUAGUAUUCAUUAUUUAAUUAUAAUUAUAUAUUUGAUGGUUGUAUUAACUUUAUUUUAUUUUUUUCA
Long non-coding RNA from Rhopalosiphum padi (bird cherry-oat aphid), 844 nucleotides. RefSeq lists it as uncharacterized. The record is from RefSeq and is a predicted model, not a curated record. NCBI's taxonomy places the organism in Eukaryota, Metazoa, Arthropoda, Insecta, Hemiptera, Aphididae. The transcript is spliced from 3 exons.